GGAACAUCAACUGCCAAUGUUGUUGAGAUUCUUGCCUUGCUCAUUCUACUUCAAAGCGUUUCCUCCUUCUGCAAUGGAGAUAAUUUCAAUGGAAGCUGUAUCAAGACUGAAAGAGAAGCUCUUGUGAAGUUCAAGUCAAGCCUCCUCAACAAUUCAAACUCGUUGCCUUCAUGGGUGGGAGAUGAUUGCUGCAGAUGGCACGGAGUCACUUGCGAUGACAUAACCGGUCAUGUAGUUAAGCUCGUUCUUUCUCGGGCGUCCAUCAUGGGAAACAUUUCCCUUCAUCUUGGAAAUCUUUCAAACUUGCAGUAUCUUGAUCUCAGUUGGAAUCAUGAUCUCAGUGUGAAUCCUUCAUUGGCAAUCCACAGCCUCCAUUUUCCAUCUUCUUUGAAAUACUUGUACUUGUCGUACGUGGUCCUGGACAAGUGUGACAAUUGGUUGCAGUCAAUAAACAUGCUUCCUUCUUUAAUAGAAUUAGAAUUGUGGAAUUGUGAGCUUUCCAUCAUUGGUGAUGUUUCACAUGUCAAUUUUACAUCUCUUGAGGUUCUCGACCUUGGAAUUAACAACUUCCAUUCCACAAUCCCAAGCUGGUUAUAUAAUAUUACCAAACUUCGACAUCUUGUUCUACAGUCUAGUGCUUUCCGAGGGUCUCUUUCCACUGAUAUCAGUAAUCUUAAUUCUCUUGCUUCCCUUUAUGCGGGUUCUAAUUCUUUGCAAAGCAACGUACCCAACACGUUAAACAGGCUUUGCAAUUUGAUUGAGCUAGACUUGGGUUACAACAAGUUCAGCGGUGAGAUUUCCGGAACUUUUGGCAACUCAUCCGGUUGCAUCAAGAACAGUUUAGAGAAUCUGUAUCUUUUAAACAAUUCCUUUUCUGGUAGUAUUCCAGAUAAUUUGGGACAAUUUAAACGCCUGAAAGUCCUUUUUCUUUCUAAAAACUCUUUCUGGGGUUCAAUUCCUGAAUCCCUUGGACAGCUUUACAACCUUGAAAGACUAGGUUUGAGUCAGAAUUCAUUGCAUGGGAAAGUUUCUGAACUUCACUUGUUAAACCUGAGAAGCUUGAUUGAGUUGAGUAUGGGUGGGAAUUCUUUAGUUUUUGAUAUAGAUCCCGAAUGGAUACCUCCUUUUCAACUUGACUCGAUUGAUUUAUCAUCUUGUGAAGUAGGGCCUUCGUUUCCAGAGUGGCUCAAAACACAAAAGAGCAUUAGAUUUUUAGAAAUGUCUAAUGCAAGCAUCUCAGAUAACAUCCCUGACUGGUUUGAAAAUAUUUCUUCCAAUAUAGUAGGAUUGGUUUUAUCUUAUAAUCAGUUGUUUGGGACCUUGCCAACUUUCAGAAAACUGAACACAACUUAUGCUAACGAAUAUAGGAUCAUAUUGUUGAAAUCUAACCAGUUUGAUGGUUUUUUAAGCUGUUCUNNNNNNNNNNNNNNNNNNNNNNNNNNNNNNNNNNNNNNNNNNNNNNNNNNNNNNNNNNNNNNNNNNNNNNNNNNNNNNNNNNNNNNNNNNNNNNNNNNNNNNNNNNNNNNNNNNNNNNNNNNNNNNNNNNNNNNNNNNNNNNNNNNNNNNNNNNNNNNNNNNNNNNNNNNNNNNNNNNNNNNNNNNNNNNNNNNNNNNNNNNNNNNNNNNNNNNNNNNNNNNNNNNNNNNNNNNNNNNNNNNNNNNNNNNNNNNAAAAAAAAAAACAAUUAAAAGCUUUGGUUUCGGGAAGGAUCCCGAAACCCCAACCACUGUCUCCCUCCUCCAGAAACAGAGCUUGUUCUGUUAGUUUUAAAAAAAAAAAUUUUCCUUUUCUUUAAAUCCAAAUCUCUUCCUCCUCCGCAACCCAAUCAACUCAUAAACUUCUAAGAUCCUUCAGCUACAUCCUGAUUUAAAGCUAUAUUCCGCUCAGAAAUUCAAUAAUGUCUUCUAGAGGCUCCAAAAUUGGAUAAGUGAGUUUUGUUCCUUUUAUUCAAAUUUUCACGAUAUAAUUUAUUUUCUCUACCUUUUAAUAGUGAUUUUGGUGAUUUGAGCAUAAAAAGGUAUAUGUUUUAGUUAGAUUUAAUUAAUGAGUUUUAAUAUUUAUUUUUGGAAUUUAUGAUUUUCAUAAUUUGAUUUAAAUAAUAUUUAUAGCUUAUUGAGUAUUUUUGUUGAGUUUGAGUAUUUCUGGGAGGACUAACUAUACCGAAAUAUGGCCGAAAUUUUCUUCAAUAUAUAUAUAUAUAAAUAUAUUUAAAAUUUUGUAUUUUACGUUUUAUAUUUUUAUCCUAGAAUAUUUAUUUAUUAUUUGAUAUAUUAUUUAUUUUUCUUUUUAAUUCUAGGAGAGGAUCCAGCUUCAGGAUAGACAAUAGGGGUGCUCCUGCAACCUAGGUCUUUUUGUCCUCUGUUUUGGUGAGUGGAUAAAUACAUAACAUUGAUAUUUUUCUUAAAUAUAUUUAUAUGUGUAUAUGUUAUUUUGUUUAUUUAAAAUGGAAAAGGAUAAAGUUAUUUUAUAUUUCUUAAAUAAAUGGAAAUUUAAUUUAAAGCACAGCUGAAUAAAUAGCCGAUUACACUCUGUAUAUGCACCGAACAGAUAACACCUUGAUGACAGGUGCUUUAUUUUCAGCAUAAUAUAUGUUUAUACUGUUUUUGGGACAGCGCUUGAUAUACAGAUAGCCUUUGGGGCGUAUGUCAGGUGGUCACCCUUUGGGGUAGCUCUGCACAUGUGUAUGACCAGCAUUUUAUUUGCUCUUGGGCCAAAUUUGUCAUUAUAGAGCCUAAGAUGCCAGCAUUGCUCUCAGGCUGUUAUUAUUUUCUUAUCCCUGAGAUGCCAGCAUUAUCUGCAGGGAACAUAUUAUGAGUGUAUGCGGAUUCUAUUUUUCACAGUUUAUUUUAUGUUGAUGGAAUGAAAUUGUAUUUAUUCAGCUGACUUAUUUUAGCUAAAUAUUUGGUACUAUUAAGUACCUAAACUUUAUCUUUUCCCCUUUGUUAUUUAUUUAUCCGCUCACUGAGUAGUUUGUACUCACCCCUUAUAUUUCUUUUAAUAUUUCAGUUCCUUUUUGGUGAUCUGCUCAGCAGUCUUCAUCUUCUUGUUUGUCCUUCCUUCCACAUCGUCCACUCAGAGUCUAGAGGAGGUCGGAUCAAUCCUAAGUCUUUUGUCUUUUCUUUUUGUAAUUUUGUUAGAUCAUGUAUAGAUUGUACAGCCCCAAUGAAGAAGGUUUUGUGUUGUUGUAAAUAUUUUAUGAAUUGACUAGUUAUAAUUUGAAAUUAUAGCAGGUUACAUGUUUUUAUAUAUGCAAAUAUUAGGGGGAACUCUGUCAGUUUUCCGGGUCAUAUCCGUCUCUACAGUUUGGGGGUUGGGUGUGACAGUGGUGAUGUUCCAAUGUCCUUGGGUUCUCAAGAGUCGCUUGUUUCCCUGCAUCUGCAAAACAAUACUCUGAAAGGAAACAUCCCAAUGUCAUUAAGGAAUCUAGAAUCCUUGGAGACUCUUGAUCUUAGCAUGAAUGCUUUUGAUGGUUUUAUUCCUUCAUGGAUAGGUGAGAGCCUAUCUUCUCUGAAAGUACUGAGUAUUCACUCUAAUAAAUUUGAAGGUGAGAUUCCUCUGCCGCUUUGCUACCUUGCUUCUCUUCGCAUAUUGAACUUGGCAAAUAACAUGAUGACUGGAACCAUACCUAAUUGUUUUGGCAAUUUUACUGCAAUUGCUAUGCAUGAGCAGAAAGGGCAUUGGGACUAUUACACUAAAGAUCAACCCUUUGCUUUUGUAUCAGCUAGCUAUGGUGAGAAUGUGCAGGUUUAUGUCAAAGGAAUAGAGCUUAAAUAUACUAGAACACUUCGAUUUCUCUAUUCCAUUGACCUUUCAGGAAAUAACUUUGUUGGAGAAAUUCCCCAGGAGUUGAUGAAUCUUUCAGGUCUACAGAUCCUGAAUCUAUCUACAAACAAAUUGGAUGGACAUAUCCCUUGGAACAUUGGCAAGUUAAGCUCACUAGAAUCACUUGACUUGUCUGAAAAUGAACUUUCUGGCUCUAUUCCAUCCAGUAUUUCUGAUUUAAACUUUUUAAGUCACUUGAAUUUGUCAUUCAAUCACUUAUCUGGACGAAUUCCAAAGGGAAACCAACUUCAGACUUUGGAUGACAAAUCCAUCUACAUCGGCAACGAUGGACUUUGUGGACCUCCAUUGAAUAACUAUUCAGAUGAUGCAGAUGAAUCGCCUAAAGGUCAUGAAAAAGGUGGCACUACGAGGAAAGAUGACUCUGAAAUGGUUUGGUUCUACAGUGGUAUGGGAAUGGGAUUUGCGGCUGGAUUUGUUGGAGUUUGUAGCAUCUUGUACUUCAACGACUCAUGGAGGUGUGCUUGGUUUGGGUUAGUUGACAGAGUCUAUAACAAGCUUUGGGUAACAAUUGCAAUCAAGGCAAAUCAAGUGAAGAGAAAGUUUCUCAGAAACAAAAUAGAAGGAAAUGCAUGAGAAGGUUAGUUCUUUCUAUUUAAUCAUUCAUAAUUCAUGGAUGCUUUAUUACUGUUGUUAGAGAUGCAAAUUGACAGAAAUUUCAAUUACAUGAUCAUAAUGUUUUCUAUGUUAAUUUUUGAUGAUAGUGUUUAAUGUAGGAUUUAAGGUUGUUUGAGACUGCAGCAGAUGUUAAGCUAAAUUUAAAUAAAGCACCUCCUCCAUUCGAGAUUUGAAGUUUGGAAGGCUGGAAGAUUUUCUUUAAAGGGGAUGUGUUUUUGUGUGAUUGUUUCCAGGAUUUGAUAUUCUUGAGCUUUUUCUAAGAUAAUUCCUAUAUUAAUAACUUUAUUUUCUGUACAAUAACUUUAAAUUGCUAUAAAAUAAUAUAAAAAAAAUUUAAAACACAAAAUGGUGUAUACUAUACAACUCUAAGUGAGAGAGCAAAAAUUGGGAUAAAUCCCAAUUUGAAUUGUCAAAGGAAUAGAGCUUUUUCUAAGAUAAAGCCUCUCGCUCUCUUUUUUUUUAAUGGCACGAAAUAUUUCAAAUUGAACUAAUUAUUUAUUUAAUUUUUUUUAUUUAAAAAAAUCACACAAUAUAAAAUACACAACUAAUUUUUAAUUAUAUAUAUAAAAAUAAAAUUAUAUAAAUAAAAAUAAAAUUAUAUAAAAUUAUAAUUAUAUUUUUUUUCCUGAAAUGAUCCUUUCUCUCUUUUCAUUAAAACAAACAGCUAUUUAAUAGUCACUACCAUUUGUUUUUUUAAUUUUUUCCAUUUACUUAAUCUUUUAUCGGAGAAAAUCUUGUUAAUCAACUAAAUUAAUAAAUUGAAACAUAGAUUUUGAAAGAAAAUUUCAUAAAAUAUAAUGAGAUUCUUUUAAGCUUCAAAAUAUCAAAUGAUUUAGAUUUGACUGCCAGUAGUCUAUAACAAUAUCUACUAAUGUGCUAUAUAUAUAUAUAUAUAUAUAUAUAUAUAUAUAUAUAUAUAUAUAUAUAUAUAUUUAUGUAUAUACAUAUAUUAUUUUAUUUAUUUAAAAUGAGAAUGAAUAAAAAAAUUUAUAUUUCUUGAAUUAAUGAAAAUAAAAUUUAAAAUACGACUCAAUAAAUAGCCGAUUACAUAUAUACUGAAUAGAUAACACCUUGAGGUGAUUUAUUUUCAAUUUAGUAUAUAUUUAUACUGUUUUUCAAACAGUUAAUAUACAAAUAGAGACGUACGUUAGGUGGUUACUCUUUUAGGUAGCUCUGCAUAUGACUAGUAUUUUAUUUGCUUUUGAGCCAAUAUUUUCAUCAUAGAGUCUAAGAUGCCAACAUUAUUCUCAUACCGUUACUAUUUUAUUUUAACUCAUAUGAGAUGUCAAUAUUGUAAUACCCGGUUAGAGUCUGGCAUCAGAAUUCCUACAGUCCGGUGGAAUCUCGAAUGUCGGAAUCCUCUAGAAGGGUAAGAAAUGUGUUUUUCUAAUUGAUUUUCAUAAGUUUUAAGGUUUUAGUUUUUGAAAGAAAAGCACCAAGGAAGAAUUGUCAGGUUCGGCCGCCGAAAGUGAUGUUCAGCCGCCGAACGUUGCAUGGUUUCGGAAUCACGUUUGGCCGCCGAAAGUGGUCUAUCCAGCCACCUAUAAAAGGCCAUAGGUCGGUGAAUGGAUAAGAUUUUCUUUCCAUUUCCACGGAUAGAGGUGAGACCAUGAUCUUCCUUGGGUGAUCUUCAUGUUUUCUCCAAAUCUUUCAAAGUUUUGAGAAGUUUUCAUGUUGUUUUGAAGCUUUUUAGCUAAAGACCAAAGUUUUGAAGCUUGGAGACUUUGAGAGCGAGUUUCUCCAUAUCUCCACGUUAGAAUCACCUAUCCUCUCGAUCUUCAAGAGGUAAGUGUAGAUCCUUAGUUUCUUUGAUGUUUUAUGAAGGUUAAAAGUUUUAUGGGUAGAAUUGCAUGUUAAGUUAAGUAGGGUUUUUGUAUGUUUGUUGGUGAUAACAUGUGUAUGUGUUGAGUUGUGAUGCUUGUUGGGGUUUUAAGUUAGUUUUGGACCCCUUUGUGCAUAUACUUGAGUAUAUGCUUGUUGUUGAGUUGUUGGUUGCAUGUAUGAGGAAGUUUGGAGGAGUUUUGCAUGAAAUAGAGCUGGAUUCUGCCUUACUGGAGAAUCCAGUUUCGGCCGCCGAAAGCAGGUUCGGCCGCCGAACGUGCUAAGGAGGUGGUUUCGGCUGUCUAAACCCGCUCCCGAAAGUUUGGACUUUCGGUUCUGGAGGGGGAUUCGGCCGCCGAAGGUUGAGACUUUCGUCUCUGGAAAUGACUUGUGAUGGAGGAGGAGACUUGCAUAUUUGAAUGCAAUAAUAAAACAUUUUAAAUUUCUUCAAUAAAUUAUAUAUUUUUAUUAAUUUUAAAAAUAAUUAAAAAUAUAACAAAUUCAUAAAUCAUAAUCAAUAAUCUGUCUUACUAAUUUGGAGAAAGGGAACUAUUUUAUUUAGUAAUUUUUUUUUUAAAAAAAAAGGGAAGGGUGGUACUUAUUUCCUCUUUAUUUUCUUUUACAGUUGAAAUUAAUUAAAACGGUGAUUAAUUUACUCUUUUCAUUCAUCCAGCUGAAUUUCCAACAAGGCAAUUCAAGUGAAUUUUUUUUCUAUGGACAUUCACAGUACAGAAAUUGCUAGGAAAGUUUACGGCCAUGGUGACAAUUUGAUUUGAUAGCAUAUUACUAUAAUUAAUAUAAAAUUGAAAGAUUGAGUAUAUAACUUAUAAAAAAUUAAGACAAUUCAUAUAACUUCAAAUUUUAUUUGAAGGUAAUUACGCUUAUAAAAUGAUCAUUUUAUGAAAAAAAUUAAUAUUAAAUUAAUGAAAACUAAUUUCUAAAAUAUAUGAAUAUAUUUUUUUAUAAAUUGAAAUUAUAAAAAUUAUAUUGAACAUUAAUGAAUAAUAUCAUUAUUGAUUAAAAAGAACAUUUUAUUUUAUUAUUUAUAAAAAUGUGUUAAUAUGUUUAAAUAUAUUAAAAUUUGUAAAUUAGUUACAAAAUAAGCAUAUAAAUAUUAUAGAUUUAAUUUCUAAAAUCUGCUAGAGUGUUUGUUUUUUAAUUGAGAAGUUAUGGGAACAUCAACUGCCAAUGUUGUUGAGAUUCUUGCCUUGCUCAUUCUACUUCAAAGCGUUUCCUCCUUCUGCAAUGGAGAUAAUUUCAAUGGAAGCUGUAUCAAGACUGAAAGAGAAGCUCUUGUCAAGUUCAAGUCAAGCCUCCUCAACAAUUCAAACUCGUUGCCUUCAUGGGUGGGAGAUGACUGCUGCAGAUGGCACGGAGUCACUUGCGAUGACAUAACCGGUCAUGUAGUUAACCUCG
This 7695-nucleotide long non-coding RNA is filed under the name Manihot esculenta (cassava). Its description in RNAcentral is "long non-coding RNA (MESC_LNC011331)". Lineage: Eukaryota; Viridiplantae; Streptophyta; Magnoliopsida; Malpighiales; Euphorbiaceae. The record is from RNAcentral.